Molecule: ribosomal RNA, 506 nt
Filed under: uncultured bacterium
Lineage: Bacteria
Description: partial 16S ribosomal RNA
Rfam family: Bacterial small subunit ribosomal RNA
Source: RNAcentral
AGUGAACGCUGGCGGUAGGCCUAACACAUGCAAGUCGAACGGCAGCACAGAGGAGCUUGCUCCUUGGGUGGCGAGUGGCGGACGGGUGAGGAAUACAUCGGAAUCUACUCUGUCGUGGGGGAUAACGUAGGGAAACUUACGCUAAUACCGCAUACGACCUACGGGUGAAAGCAGGGGACCUUCGGGCCUUGCGCGAUUGAAUGAGCCGAUGUCGGAUUAGUUAGUUGGCGGGGUAAAGGCCCACCAAGGCGACGAUCCGUAGCUGGUCUGGGAGGAUGAGCAGCCACACUGGAACUGAGACAGGGUCCAGACUCCUACGUGAGGCAGCAGUGGGGAAUAUUGGACAAUGGGCGCAAGCCUGAUCCAGCCAUACCGCGUGGGUGAAGAAGGCCUUCGGGUUGUAAAGCCCUUUUGUUGGGAAAGAAAUCCAGCUGGCUAAUACCCGGUUGGGAUGACGGUACCCAAAGAAUAAGCACCGGCUAACUUCGUGCCAGCCGCCGCCGUAA